This is a long non-coding RNA of Ipomoea nil (Japanese morning glory), 749 nucleotides long. RefSeq lists it as uncharacterized. Lineage: Eukaryota; Viridiplantae; Streptophyta; Magnoliopsida; Solanales; Convolvulaceae. The record is from RefSeq and is a predicted model, not a curated record. The transcript is spliced from 2 exons.
AGGGUGUAUACAGUUACCCAGAUGAGGUUUGCAAUCAAGCAGCAAGCAGUAAUUCCAACAGAGUUUUAUCUUUGUUGGAUGAAAGUGCAACCCACAUCCUUGCAUUUGAAUGCAUAAAAACUUAUGUUCUUUGUCCAUUAUGAUGAUUGGAGAAUUAAUUUCAAAGGGCUGCUAAUUUGAUCUUUUUAUUUAUAUUUCUUUUGUUGGGGGGGUGUGGGGGAAAGGGAGGGGGAUAUUAUUCUUGGCCAAUAUUCAAACAUCCUCCAUAUCAAUUAUGGGCAAAACUUAUCUUUCAAUUGCUUCUUUAUUUUAACUUCCUUAACUGCACUUUUGAAAAUCUUUUUUAAUCUGACUACUUGAGAGCACUUGCUAUAAUAUAGUGUCAUUGUACUUCAUAUCUUUGCAAAAACAUUUUUAAGAAAAUGUAAUGACAGGUAAAAAAAAAUCCUUUUAGAAUUGAUCUGAAAAUUCUAACACAGAAUUCAAACACUGAGAAGGUAAGUGAGGUAUUUACAAGACUUGGAUGAAGUACAGAAAGCCAACCCUGAGCUGAAGGUGUCUAGGAAACAUGAUCACCGACUAUGUGGUAAAUCUAAUGUAGUACCGAAAGCCAACCAGAGUUGAAGGUGUCUAAGAAACAUGAUCCCUGACAAUGUUGUAAAUCUAAUGUCAGUCCCUAUUGUUUUGGUUAGGAGGAGGGAUGUCCUUGAGUUCCUGACUUCCUGCUAGCUCAUUUAUUCAAAAAAUAA